Molecule: long non-coding RNA, 96 nt
Organism: Gopherus evgoodei (Goodes thornscrub tortoise)
Lineage: Eukaryota; Metazoa; Chordata; Testudines; Testudinidae
Exons: 4
Source: RefSeq, a predicted model, not a curated record
AUUUUAUGAAAACCCUCUUGACAGUCUCUUAGAUGGUAUUUAAGAUGGAAAUAACUGUCCUUUUGGGGGAAAAGAUAAAUUAGUUGAGAUAGGCUG